RNAcentral lists this long non-coding RNA (485 nucleotides) under Homo sapiens (human). Its description in RNAcentral is "non-protein coding lnc-ARID3C-2:2". The record is from RNAcentral. Lineage: Eukaryota; Metazoa; Chordata; Mammalia; Primates; Hominidae.
CACGAGCUGGCCUUCUCUCGUCUGAUCGUGGAGCUGCGGCGGCUGCACCCAGGCCACGUGCUGCCCGACGAGGAGCUGCAGUGGGUGUUCGUGAAUGCGGGUGGCUGGAUGGGCGCCAUGUGCCUUCUGCACGCCUCGCUGUCCGAGGCGCUACUGGGCUGAGAUCUCGGAUACCAUCAUCUCUGGCACCUUCCACCAGUGGAGAGAGGGCACCACCAAAAGUGAGGUCUUCUACCCAGGUGGGUAAGAAGGCUCUGUCAGAGAAGUGGGUCCCUUCACGCGGGGGGUGCCCACAAUUGCGGGGAGCAUGGCAUGGAAAAGGAGUGUGUUGGGGGGGCCCUCCUCAUGGUUCCCUUCCUCCACCCUCCCAUAAGCCACAGGUGAUUGGUUGGGGCAGAGCUGAGGGACUCUUGCUUUCCUCUGUCAAGGGGAAACAAAACAUAACAACUUCCUAUUAAACAUGUCUGAUUUUUAUCUGCCCAGGC